AUGCAAGUCGAACGCGCAGCAUUCUGUAGCAAUACAGGGUGUGGGCGCGUGGCGAACGGGUGCGUAACACGUGGAUAACCUUCCUUGAGGUGGGGAAUAACCCAGUGAAAAUUGGGCUAAUACCGCAUAACAUCGCGAUGGCACAUGCUGAUGCGAUCAAAGGCGCAAGUCGCCACAAGAGGGAUCCGCGGCCGAUUAGCUUGUUGGCGAGGUAAUGGCUCACCAAGGCAAUGAUCGGUAGCCGGACUGAGAGGUUGGCCGGCCACACUGGAACUGAGACACGGUCCAGACUCCUACGGGAGGCAGCAGUGGGGAAUCUUGCACAAUGGACGAAAGUCUGAUGCAGCAACGCCGCGUGGGGGAUGAAGCUUCUCGGAGUGUAAACCCCUUUCGACCCGGAAGAAUGCCCGCAAGGGUAUGACGGUACGGGUAUAAGAAGCCCCGGCUAACUACGUGCCAGCAGCCGCGGUAAUACGUAGGGGGCCAGCGUUGCUCGGAAUUACUGGGCGUAAAGGGUCCGUAGGCGGUGUAGCAAGUCGAUAGUGAAAUCUCUGGGCUUAACCCAGAGGCUGCUAACGAAACUGCUGUGCUAGAGUGUGAGAGAGGCGAGUGGAAUUACGGGUGUAGCGGUGAAAUGCGUAGAUAUCCGUAG
This 652-nucleotide ribosomal RNA is filed under the name uncultured soil bacterium. Its description in RNAcentral is "bacterial SSU rRNA". It matches the Rfam family "Bacterial small subunit ribosomal RNA", at positions 55 to 703 of the family's 1533-position model. The record is from RNAcentral.